GACAUUUACUUCUUUUUCAGAACUUAUGAAUGUCAUCUUCAAAUGUUUCAAUAAAACCAUCAUAACAAGUAUGGAGACCUUUUCUACUACUGUAGGUGUUCUUUGUCAUUUCUCUCUAACAUGUUAUACUUGUUGACAGUGGUGUGUAAUCUCAAUUUUCAUUAUGUUAGCUCCAGUGAUCUCUUGUGUAUGCUUUUGGCUCGGUAAAUCUUUUUUAGGUUCAUGUCCUUUGGAUAAUCAAUCCGAGUGAAUUAGUGGUUGCAGUUUUGCCAUCCAUGUACAGUGUAGACACGUAUAUUCUCAGACACUCAGAGUUUGUGUCUCUGAAACCAGAUGAGUGGCUCAUAGGCGAGACCAUUGAAUGUUACUUUCAAGUAGUGAAAGAAUCCAUGGACUUGGGGAAGAAGGUUUUCCUAAUGCACCACUACACAACUGGUGUAAUCAUGUGUGGGAAUAGAGAGCUCAUGGCUAGACAAUGUUUGUCCAAGGUAAGGACAUCAAACACAAAUGUUGAUGGAUUACAUUAGUGAGGGGCAAACAUGGUUUUUCACUAACUGAUAAUUGUUUUAUCAAUAGAGAAACAAGGAGAGCUACAAGCAAUCAAAACAGGUCACAACUGUGCCCAUGGUGCUGCCUAAAGAAACUACCUUUAUAGUCAGAAAUCAAAAUUCAAAGGUAGCACACCAUCCCUGUGAGGCAGCCUGUUGUACUAAUCUUGUCAUUCUUUUCAUUACAGGUCAACUUUGAAAACUAUGAAGCCAUAAUUAGCUUUUUUAACACUGGUGUCCAUUGGAAAUUGUUGGUAAGUUUGGUGCAGGUAAUCCAAAACAGCAUAGGUUUAUAAUUA
Molecule: long non-coding RNA, 847 nt
Filed under: Lepisosteus oculatus (spotted gar)
Lineage: Eukaryota; Metazoa; Chordata; Actinopteri; Semionotiformes; Lepisosteidae
Description: lncRNA (ENSLOCG00000023273.1)
Source: RNAcentral